GCUCUCCUGAUCCCUUACUCAUGAGAUCUACACACUGGUCUCAGUGACGAUCAAAUGAGGGGAAAAUUGAAGCUGACUUGGAUUCUCUUGUGACAUACAUGUUGGUUUCAAAUAUGC
This 117-nucleotide small nucleolar RNA is filed under the name Echinops telfairi (small Madagascar hedgehog). RNAcentral describes it as "Small nucleolar RNA SNORA61 (ENSETEG00000025984.1)". Lineage: Eukaryota; Metazoa; Chordata; Mammalia; Afrosoricida; Tenrecidae. The record is from RNAcentral.